GACGAACGCUGGCGGUGUGCUUAACACAUGCAAGUCGAACGGAAAGGCACCUUUGGGGGUACUCGAGUGGCGAACGGUGGAGUAACACGUGGGUAACCUGCCCUUGACUUCGUGAUAACUUCAGGAAACUGGGGCUACUUACGGAUAUGAAUCCUUGCUGCUACGUGGGGGUUCGAAAGAUCCGGCGGUUUUGGACGGACUGGUGGCCUAUCAGCUUGUUGGUGGGGUAGUGGCGUACCAGGGCUUUGACGGGUAGCCGGCCUGAGGGGGCGACCGGCCACAUUGGGACUGAGAGACGGCCCAGACUCCUACGGGAGGCAGCAGGGGGGAAUAUUGCACAAUGGGCGGAAGCCUGAUGCAGCAACGCCGCGUGCGGGAUGACGGCCUUCGGGUUGUAAACCGCUUUCAGCAGGGGCGAAGCUUGUGGUGACGGUACCUGCAGAAGAAGCACCGGCUAACUACGUG
RNAcentral lists this ribosomal RNA (465 nucleotides) under uncultured bacterium. RNAcentral's name for it is "partial 16S ribosomal RNA". It matches the Rfam family "Bacterial small subunit ribosomal RNA", at positions 28 to 507 of the family's 1533-position model. The record is from RNAcentral.